RNAcentral lists this ribosomal RNA (480 nucleotides) under uncultured bacterium. Its description in RNAcentral is "bacterial SSU rRNA". It matches the Rfam family "Bacterial small subunit ribosomal RNA", at positions 28 to 507 of the family's 1533-position model. The record is from RNAcentral.
GAUGAACGCUGGCGGCGUGCUUAACACAUGCAAGUCGAACGUGAGAAUAGCAAUAUUUGAAAGUGGCAAACGGGUGAGUAACACGUGGGAACCUGCCUCGAAGUGGGGGAUAACGAUUGGAAACGGUCGCUAAUACCGCACGGUUCUGCUCUGAUGGGAAUGGAGCAGAUAAAGAUUUAUCGCUUUGAGAGGGGCCCGCGGCCGAUUAGCUAGUUGGUAAGGUAAAGGCUUACCAAGGCGAUUAUCGGUAGCUGGUCUGAGAGGACGAUCAGCCACACGGGAACUGAGACACGGUCCCGACUCCUACGGGGGGCAGCAGUGAGGAAUAUUGGGCAAUGGGCGAAAGCCUGACCCAGCAACGCCGCGUGGAGGAUGAAGGCUUUAGGGUUGUAAACUCCUUUUGUACGGAACGAAACGGUUCUCUCUAAUACAGGGGGCUAAUGACGGUACCCGUAAGAAUAAGCACCGGCUAACUACGUG